CGGUACAGUGUGCGCGAGAA
Molecule: unclassified non-coding RNA, 20 nt
Filed under: Chlamydomonas reinhardtii
Lineage: Eukaryota; Viridiplantae; Chlorophyta; Chlorophyceae; Chlamydomonadales; Chlamydomonadaceae
Description: small RNA Cre_1342
Source: RNAcentral